Molecule: long non-coding RNA, 1230 nt
Organism: Cyprinus carpio (common carp)
Lineage: Eukaryota; Metazoa; Chordata; Actinopteri; Cypriniformes; Cyprinidae
Exons: 3
Source: RefSeq, a predicted model, not a curated record
AUCUAGUUCAUAUAUUUAGAUUUUCACCGAUACAGUGAGGAGACUUGUAAAGACAGACAGCAGCAGAAGUAGGAUUGGAUGGCCAGUGGUGCAGAGGGGUGUCGUCUAAGCUCAUCCAUGUGGCUGCCCAGGGCAAUGCUGACAGCUGCACAGAAAGCUCACAACUUCCCUCCAGAAGCUGAAGAAAAGUGAACUCCCAAUCAUGUUAGUAGCAAUUUGGUGUGACCGUUAGGAACCCCGUUUGCUCAGUUUUAUUUAAGUUUAUUUGAUCAAGGAACAUUGCAGGAUGGUUACUGUUACAGUUAAAAGCACAUUAUAGAUUAAUCAGGUGUCGAUAGCACACAUGCAUUUGUUCAGUGAGCUUCAAUUAAUAAAAUGAACAGUAAAAGACACAGCAGAAGCAGUUAUUUUCACUUUUUGGCCACAGUACUGCUCUCUUUACUGCUCUGUAAUUGCUGUUUGCACUUAGUUUGCACUUGGAAUCUUUUACCGAAAUAUUGUGCUUUCUUGGGGGUGUUGCAAGUGAGUCAUGUACCUGGCCUUUCGUGGGAAACCACACAUUAAAAUAAGAUUUAAAAAGCACAGCUAUACAUAACCUUGGCAGAGGUUUAUGAGACGUAUUCAUGCGGCACGUCUCUCAAGUACAGGAUUUGCAGGAUAAGGCAUUUGCGAGCAUGUGUUGUGCUUUCGUAUCCUUUGUAAUGUUUAUGCUAAUGAUUUCAACAUCUGAUACACAAGUUUUCCUAAGAGAAAGCAUAGGAGGGGAGGUGCAUUUAAAAAAAGACUAUUCCUGUUCUCUCUUACCCUCUCGCUCUCUUUCCUACUCUCUGCCAUACGUAGCUCUUACCUGGAGAGAUAAAACUAUAGCACACACCUACAUCACACCAACGCUCAGCUUCCUGUGCUGCCCAAGAGUAUUACAUCAGCCACCCCAACCUUAACCCUAGCACUCAAAUUCAGGACUUAUUCAUUGAAAUAUUCAGAGAUCCAAACUUGGUAUAUGUUAUUGAGCUGAUACCCACAUUGCUCUGAGACUACUGGUCCCAUCGGUAGCAUUAUGGGUUAGAUAGCGAGAAGGAUUUGCUUGUGGGGUACUAAUAGAGCACUAUAAGGAUGCUAACAGCAUGUUUAGUGUGGGUUCAUCACUGUGACCUUGGAAGGAGCAGUGUGACCCUCAUGAACAGUGUGUGGGAAGAUGAUUUGUCAAGUCAACUUCAGCGCACAUGAACC